GGGUGGCACAGUGGGUCAGUGCAUCCGGCUGUUGACCAAAAGAUUGGUGGUUCAAGCCCACCCAGGGAACG
Non-coding RNA from Podarcis lilfordi (Lilford's wall lizard), 71 nucleotides. NCBI's taxonomy places the organism in Eukaryota, Metazoa, Chordata, Lepidosauria, Squamata, Lacertidae. The record is from the annotation of a GenBank genome assembly.